This 184-nucleotide ribosomal RNA is filed under the name uncultured bacterium. RNAcentral's name for it is "partial 16S ribosomal RNA". It matches the Rfam family "Bacterial small subunit ribosomal RNA", at positions 1316 to 1500 of the family's 1533-position model. The record is from RNAcentral.
CUUCAUGAAGCUGGAAUUGCUAGUAAUGGCAGGUCAGCAUACUGCCGUGAAUACUUCCCGGGCCUUGUACACACCGCCCGUCACACCAUGAGAGUUGGAAAUACCCGAAGCCUGUGAGCUAACAGUAAUGAGGCAGCAGUCGAAGGUAGAGCCAAUGAUUGGGGUGAAGUCGUAACAAGGUACC